ACCGGUUGAUCCUGCCGGAGGUCACCGCUAUUGGAAUUCGUUUAAGCCAUGCGAGUCGAGAGGGUUCGGCCCUCGGCAGACUGCUCAGUAACACGUGGAUAAUCUGACCUAAGGAGGGGGAUAAUCUCGAGAAAUUGAGGCUAAUACCCCAUAGACCUAAUCUGCUGGAAUGCUUUUAGGUUGAAAACUCCGGUGCCUUAGGAUGAGUCCGCGGCUUAUCAGGUCGUAGUGAGUGUAACGUACUCACUAGCCGAUGACGAGUACGGGCCUUGGGAGAGGUUGCCCGGAGAUGGACUCUGAGACACGAGUCCAGGCCCCACGGGGCGCAGCAGGCGCGAAAACUUCACAAUGCGAGCAAUCGCGAUGAGGAAAUUCCAAGUGCCAGUACUUUUGUGCUGGCUUUUCUUAUGCUUAAAAGGCAUUUGGAAUAAGGGCUGGGUAAGACUGGUGCCAGCCGCCGCGGUAAUACCAGCAGCCCGAGUGGUGAUCGUUAUUAUUGGGCCUAAAGCGUCCGUAGCCGGUUUGGUAAAUUUCUGCGUAAAUCGUUCAGCUUAACUGGACGAAUUGCGGAAAGACUGUCAAACUUGGGACUGGGAGAGGUCGGAGGUACUCCAGGGGUAGGGGUGAAAUCCUGUAAUCCUUGGAGGACCACCAGUGGCGAAGGCGUCCGACUAGAACGGCUCCGACGGUAAGGGACGAAGCCCUGGGGCGCAAACCGGAUUAGAUACCCGGGUAGUCCAGGGUGUAAACGCUGCGGGUUUGGUGUUGGGGGUCCUGCGAGGGCGCUCAGUGCCGGAGAGAAGUUGUUAAACCCGCCGCCUGGGAAGUACGACCGCAAGGUUGAAACUUAAAGGAAUUGGCGGGGGAGCACCGCAACGGGAGGAGCGUGCGGUUUAAUUGGAUUCAACGCCGGAAAACUCACCGGGGGCGACUGUUACAUGAAGGCCAAGCUGACGACUUUGCCAGAUUUUCAGAGAGGUGGUGCAUGGCCGCCGUCAGUUCGUACCGCAAGGCGUUCUGUUAAGUCAGAUAACGAACGAGACCCCUUCCUCUAAUUGCUAAUCAUCUCUCAGGAGGUGAUGCACAUUAGAGGGACCGCUGGCGCUAAGUCAGAGGAAGGUAGGGGCAACGGUAGGUCAGUAUGCCCCGAAUCCCCCGGGCCACACGCGCGCUACAAAGGAUGGGACAAUGGGCUCCGACCUCGAAAGUGGAAGGCAAUCCCCAAACCCAUUCGUAGUCCGGAUUGAGGGCUGUAACCCGCCCUCAUGAAGCUGGAUUCCGUAGUAAUCGCGGGUCAACAUCCCGCGGUGAAUAUGCCCCUGCUCCUUGCACACACCGCCCGUCAAACCAUCUGAGUUGGGUUUGAGUGAGGCUACUUCUGAUUGUGGUAGUCGAACUUAGGUUCAGCAAGGAGGGUUAAGUCGUAACAAGGUA
RNAcentral lists this ribosomal RNA (1434 nucleotides) under metagenome. RNAcentral's name for it is "bacterial SSU rRNA". It matches the Rfam family "Archaeal small subunit ribosomal RNA". The record is from RNAcentral.